ACUGUAAAAGCCAACAACAUUGUGGGAGAGCUAUUAAAAAAGGAUAUUUUGUUUGGAUAUUAAGGUUAAGAUUUACUGGGGAUCUGUGGCCCACAGAGGCUUUGAGCAGAUCCCCCACCCCAAAAAGGGUGCACACCAGCAAGCCUUUCCUCAGCUUGGGGGAAGACAAGGCUGGAGACUGAGCCUUAUCACAAACAUACGUCUCAGCUCAGCCACAAUGUGAAACACCUUGAGCUUGAUUUCAGAUAACAGUCACAGCCUGUUGAAGCUGCCUUGAAAUCCUGCUGAAAGGGCAGCUCUGGCUCCCUUGGCUUGUUUCUCUGUGCCUGUUUGUUGUCUUGUGUUUGUACCAGCCCUGCCACAUCCAGAAGUUAUUCUGAAAUGAAAAGGGAGUUCAAGAGGAAGCCAAUUGUUCCAGCAUUACAGCAUCCAGGACAGAACAUAUAUUGGCAUCAUAACUGCUUACGGUCAGUUGUACCUCUCAAGUCUCAAACACACUUCAGGGAUAUUUUAUGCUUAACUGAUGCAGCCUGUCCAAAGUCACUCUCUGGUCUAAAAAACAGCAUUUUCACAGAAGCUCUCACUGCAAUCCACAUACACUCAGAAGAUGUGGAAUCACUGCAAGUUAAAAGUUCCUGCUGAGGAUUGUCAAUCAGCUGAGGAUCAGCACCCCCUUCUGGCUUCAACAGUGUGGGGUGAGAGCUGGAACUGCCAUCAUCACGUAAGAAACCUUUACAGGAGCAACAAAGUAAAAGCAAACAUAUUCUAAAACUUGCCGUAAUAAAUAGGCAAAGGAAUAUCAAUGCUGGGGGCAUUUCCCCAUGGAAAAGGGCCACUGUUCGUAUCCAGGGCCUUGGGCCUGGGUUUCUGCAUGCUAAAAUUCGGAGCAGUGCAGGAUUUCCCCCAGAUCACAGCCGUCACCACCUCCAGCGCCGGCUGCCCUUGGAGCGCCAAACGCCUCCUCCAUCAGGAGGAGGUAUCCGGAAACUGGGGCUGAGUUUUGUUCCCCAUGGACACUGCGGCAGUCAGGUGGCUGUGGCGGUGGAGCCACGUGACGCCCCCAGCAGUCACGUG
This 1074-nucleotide long non-coding RNA is filed under the name Ficedula albicollis (Collared flycatcher). RNAcentral's name for it is "lncRNA (ENSFALG00000024304.1)". Lineage: Eukaryota; Metazoa; Chordata; Aves; Passeriformes; Muscicapidae. The record is from RNAcentral.